Molecule: ribosomal RNA, 253 nt
Filed under: uncultured bacterium
Lineage: Bacteria
Description: partial 16S ribosomal RNA
Rfam family: Bacterial small subunit ribosomal RNA
Source: RNAcentral
UACGUAGGGGGCUAGCGUUGUUCGGAAUCAUUGGGCGUAAAGGGUGCGUAGGCGGGUCUUUAAGUCAGGUGUGAAAUCCUGGAGCUCAACUCCAGAACUGCCUUUGAUACUGAGGAUCUUGAGUACGGGAGAGGUGAGUGGAACUGCGAGUGUAGAGGUGAAAUUCGUAGAUAUUCGCAAGAACACCAGUGGCGAAGGCGGCUCACUGGCCCGUAACUGACGCUGAGGCACGAAAGCGUGGGGAGCAAACAGG